Molecule: ribosomal RNA, 327 nt
Filed under: uncultured eukaryote
Lineage: Eukaryota
Description: partial 18S ribosomal RNA
Rfam family: Eukaryotic small subunit ribosomal RNA
Source: RNAcentral
CCCUUAGAUGUUCUGGGCCGCACACGCGCUACACUGAAGGAGGCAGCGUGUACUCCUGGAUCGAAAGAUUUGGGUAACCCGCGAAUCUCCUUCGUGCUAGGGAUUGAGGUUUGCAAUUAUCCUUCAUGAACGAGGAAUUCCCAGUAAGUGCAAGUCAUAAGCUUGCGCUGACUACGUCCCUGCCCUUUGUACACACCGCCCGUCGCUACUACCGAUCGAAUGAUUUAGUGAGGACUUCGGACUGGGACCGAUGCGGCUUUCGGGCUGCGUCGGUAUUCUGGAAAGAUGUCCAAACUGUAUCAUUUAGAGGAAGUAAAANUCGUANCA